GACGAACGCUGGCGGCGUGCUUAACACAUGCAAGUCGAACGGAAAGGCCCUGCUUGCAGGGUACUCGAGUGGCGAACGGGUGAGUAACACGUGGGUGAUCUGCCCUGCACUUCGGGAUAAGCCUGGGAAACUGGGUCUAAUACCGGAUAGGAGCCAUUUUUAGUGUGAUGGUUGGAAAGUUUUUUCGGUGUAGGAUGAGCUGGCGGCCUAUCAGCUUGUUGGUGGGGUAAUGGCCUACCAAGGCGGCGACGGGUAGCCGGCCUGAGAGGGUGGACGGCCACAUUGGGACUGAGAUACGGCCCAGACUCCUACGGGAGGCAGAAGUGGGGAAUAUUGCACAAUGGGCGCAAGCCUGAUGCAGCGACGCCGCGUGGGGGAUGACGGCCUUCGGGUUGUAAACGCCUUUCGCUAGGGACGAAGCUUUUUGUGACGGUACCUAGAUAAGAAGCACCGGCUAACUACGUG
Molecule: ribosomal RNA, 465 nt
Filed under: uncultured bacterium
Lineage: Bacteria
Description: partial 16S ribosomal RNA
Rfam family: Bacterial small subunit ribosomal RNA
Source: RNAcentral